This 76-nucleotide transfer RNA is filed under the name Bacillota bacterium. Its description in RNAcentral is "Firmicutes bacterium (anaerobic digester metagenome) tRNA-Thr". It matches the Rfam family "tRNA". From Rfam's summary of the family: Transfer RNA (tRNA) molecules are approximately 80 nucleotides in length. Their secondary structure includes four short double-helical elements and three loops (D, anti-codon, and T loops). Further hydrogen bonds mediate the characteristic L-shaped molecular structure. tRNAs have two regions of fundamental functional importance: the anti-codon, which is responsible for specific mRNA codon recognition, and the 3' end, to which the tRNAs corresponding amino acid is attached (by aminoacyl-tRNA synthetases). tRNAs cope with the degeneracy of the genetic code in two manners: having more than one tRNA (with a specific anti-codon) for a particular amino acid; and 'wobble' base-pairing, i.e. permitting non-standard base-pairing at the 3rd anti-codon position. Lineage: Bacteria; Bacillati; Bacillota. RNAcentral also lists the same sequence under 1 other name. The record is from RNAcentral.
GCCGGCGUAGCUCAACCGGUAGAGCAACCGCCUUGUAAGCGGUAGGUUGCGGGUUCAAAUCCCGCCGCUGGCUCCA